GAGUUUGAUCAUGGCUCAGGAUGAACGCUAGCGGCAGGCUUAACACAUGCAAGUCGAGGGGUAGAGUAGCAAUACUUGAGACCGGCGCACGGGUGCGUAACGCGUAUGCAACCUACCUUUUACAGAGGGAUAGCCCAGAGAAAUUUGGAUUAAUACCUCAUAGUAUAUGUCUUUCGCAUGUUAGACAUAUUAAAGUUCCAACGGUAAAAGAUGGGCAUGCGUCCUAUUAGCUAGAUGGUAAGGUAACGGCUUACCAUGGCAACGAUAGGUAGGGGUCCUGAGAGGGAGAUCCCCCACACUGGUACUGAGACACGGACCAGACUCCUACGGGAGGCAGCAGUGAGGAAUAUUGGACAAUGGGCGCAAGCCUGAUCCAGCCAUGCCGCGUG
RNAcentral lists this ribosomal RNA (389 nucleotides) under uncultured Flavobacterium sp. Its description in RNAcentral is "bacterial SSU rRNA". It matches the Rfam family "Bacterial small subunit ribosomal RNA", at positions 9 to 403 of the family's 1533-position model. The record is from RNAcentral. Lineage: Bacteria; Pseudomonadati; Bacteroidota; Flavobacteriia; Flavobacteriales; Flavobacteriaceae.